GACAGAGGUGCCGAGCGUUAUGCGGAAUCACUGGGCUUAAAGCGUGUGUAGGCGGAUUGGUAAGUACCUUGUGAAAUCCCACGGCUUAACCGUGGAACUGCUGGGUAUACUGCUUAUCUUGGGCCACUUAGGGGCUAGCGGAACAAACGGUGGAGCGGUGAAAUGCGUAGAUAUCGUUUGGAACGCCAAUGGUGAAAACAGCGAGCUGGGAGUGUGCCGACGCUGAGACACGAAAGCCAGGGGAGCGAACGGG
Molecule: ribosomal RNA, 253 nt
Filed under: uncultured bacterium
Lineage: Bacteria
Description: partial 16S ribosomal RNA
Rfam family: Bacterial small subunit ribosomal RNA
Source: RNAcentral